AACGAACGCUGGCGGCAGGCUUAACACAUGCAAGUCGAACGGGUGCAGCAAUGCAUCAGUGGCAGACGGGUGAGUAACACGUGGGAACCUUCCUAGGGGUACGGAACAACUCAGGGAAACUUGAGCUAAUACCGUAUACGUCCGUAAGGAGAAAGAUUCAUCGCCCCUAGACGGGCCCGCGUCGGAUUAGGUAGUUGGUGGGUAACGGCCUACCAAGCCUGCGAUCCGUAGCUGAUCNGAGAGGAUGAUCAGCCACACUGGGACUGAGACACGGCCCAGACUCCUACGGGAGGCAGCAGUGGGGAAUCUUGGACAAUGGGCGCAAGCCUGAUCCAGCCAUGCCGCGUGAGUGAAGAAGGCCUUAGGGUUGUAAAGCUCUUUUACCAGGGACGAUAAUGACGGUACC
RNAcentral lists this ribosomal RNA (406 nucleotides) under uncultured bacterium. Its description in RNAcentral is "bacterial SSU rRNA". It matches the Rfam family "Bacterial small subunit ribosomal RNA", at positions 29 to 479 of the family's 1533-position model. The record is from RNAcentral.